GGCUGGUCCAAAGGUAGUGGGUUAUCUCGACUGUUACAGGUAGUUACAGAUUGAUCUCCUUGUUCUCCUAUUUUCCCCUUUCUCACUACUGCACUUGACUGAAAA
This 105-nucleotide Y RNA is filed under the name Dasypus novemcinctus (nine-banded armadillo). Its description in RNAcentral is "Y RNA (ENSDNOG00000027263.1)". It matches the Rfam family "Y RNA". Rfam says of the family: Y RNAs are components of the Ro ribonucleoprotein particle (Ro RNP), in association with Ro60 and La proteins. The Y RNAs and Ro60 and La proteins are well conserved, but the function of the Ro RNP is not known. In humans the RNA component can be one of four small RNAs -- hY1, hY3, hY4 and hY5. The record is from RNAcentral. Lineage: Eukaryota; Metazoa; Chordata; Mammalia; Cingulata; Dasypodidae.